RNAcentral lists this long non-coding RNA (1617 nucleotides) under Fukomys damarensis (Damara mole-rat). RNAcentral's name for it is "lncRNA (ENSFDAG00000032542.1)". The record is from RNAcentral. Lineage: Eukaryota; Metazoa; Chordata; Mammalia; Rodentia; Bathyergidae.
AUGGUAUCAACAGCGACACAGGACCAGCGAUCCGUACAGCGUUGGCCCCAUUUCACAGAUGCAGGAGCCCAUAAGGAAUGGAGCCUCCCUCGGAAAGACGACUUUACGGUGCUCUUGAGCUCCCCAGGCAUCCGGAAGAAGAACCCAGAAGAGGAGACCUCUGAAAGGAAAUGGAUGAAGUUCAGAAUCUCUGGGCACAAAACCCAGCUCUUCGGGGAAGCUGGUGGUUGUUUGUGGAUAGAGCUGACCAUCGGCUGGACAGCUUUCUCUAGGGAUGGGGAUGCUGGGGAGCCCCAAGAGUGGGAGUGGGGAGCAGGGUCAGGGUGCAGUAAGAGCCUUUGCUUUUCUGCAUCAGCUGCUCAAAGACAGGAUGACAACAGCAGCAGGGGUGGGAGCUGUCUGUCACCUUUGAUGAGCUUACCACUUGCUAAGCAUCAUCGUCUUUAAACGUAAAAACUCAUUUCAUCCUUAAGGUCACUUUGUGAGGCCUGUAGCUAUGAGAGCAGUGGGUGGAUAUUCAUUUUGCAAAGGAGGCGUGGAAGGGAAUCCAUUUGCCCGGAUGAUGCUUGCUGCUGGGGGUUGGGAGGAGCAGAGCUGGGGUUUGAAUCUCUUUGUGAACCCAGCACAUGGCUUGUAGGGCGCAUAAGCCUCUCCCAAAGUGCACACCCCUUUCCCUGCCCACAGUGCCCCCGUUAGUGGCCCACUCGUGGGCGUGCUCUGUGCUCCAGAGUCCUAGUGGGGGGCCAGGGUGCCCAGAAACGGCUCAAAUUCAUUCCUUGCCACCGUGUCCCUGCAAGUCCUGUCCCUGCUCAGUCACCUCCACCCUCCGAUCAACUUCCUUCUGGAGGGAGAAGCACCUGAAUCGUGGGGGUCACCAGCCCCUGUGCAGGGCAGCCCUGCCUCCCAGGACACCCUCCCCCACCCGGCAGGUAUACCAAACCCAGAGAUUUAUCUCCUGGGUCAGAUAAAGGUGACUAAAUGCAAACCGGCCCAUUCCUUUCUGCACACGGUUCCCUGGGGAGGGCUCCUACAAGGAGUCGAAGAGCCAAUCGAUCAGGAAAAUGCUUCGAGGUGACUUACAGGGGAGAUAUAAAGGAAAAAAUCCUUGCGUCUUUACAGCCUAGGGGGACUCUUCAGCCUUGUACAACUCCCCCAGCAGCCAGAAGGCUGGCGGCAGGCCCCUCCUCCCCGACUGCCACUGGGCCCGGAGGAGCUCUGCAGAGUCUGACCUCUGAGCCCUCCCGCGGAGUUCUUUACUCCUCUGGAAAGCGUUUGUCGCGUGCCUACUGUGUGCUCCGUGUGCUGCAUCCUCUCGAAUCCUCCAGAUGGCGCUGUUGCCACCCCCUGCUAUGGAAGAGGAACUGAGGUCUGGGAGGGAGGUUAAUCCAGGUCCCUCCAGUCUUCAAGCAAGCCUGCCCUGGGACACAGGUCAGAUCCACCAGGGGCCUGCACCCAGCCUCCUUCCCAUGUCACUCUCUGAUCAGAUCGUGUUCCCCACUGGACUUCAGCUCCAAGCUUGACUCAUUCUCAACAGCCUCCUCUGCCGGCUUCCAUCUCUUCCUAGCUCUCAGCACUACUGACUUGCUGUCUGCUCUCACAGACCCAGACCAUGAACAG